AGGAUAUAAAGAUUAAAGUUUAGUUGUAAUUGCAUAAUAGAGGGAUAAAAUGAUAUUAGACCAUUUUCAUAUAAAAAUAAAUGCAUAUUACAUAAUAGUAUAAUACCGAACUCAUAUAUUGCACGAGAUAAUAAACUAGUUAUUUAACUAUGCUAGCCUUGUGAUACAAGAUCAAACUUGUCACAUGUCUAUAAGUAAUACUAAAAAAACACACAUCAUUUAAGAAAAGUCGCAAAGGUUGAUUGUUUCGAAGGAAAGGGUGUGAGAUAGUUAUAGCAACCUGUCUGGGCCUGCUGUUUUUUCUGCCUCACUAAAUAGUUUGUUUCUGCAAUAAAACAAAGCAAACACAAAAAAAAAAAAGAGAGAGAGAUUAAAUGAAGAAACUAAGCUUGUAAUCUCAACCUUGCAAAUUACAUGCUCUAUAAAACAUAAAUCAAUUCUCAACCCUGCAAAUUACAUGCUCUAUAAAAUAUAAACACAAAUAAAUGUUGUGUGGGUCGGAAUUUGUUAUUGGAGCAUUUAUUACAUUCAACUUGGAAGUCAAGGUCUCAAAAGAAACUGGUGUUUUUUCUCAUACUUGACAAAAUCAAACUGUAUUAUAAUUUUUUGUCAUGUCAUCAGUCCAAUCUUUUAAGCUUUAAAGCACGUAGAAGAAGGUCAUAAUCAUAAUUUGACCUAAAACAAUUUUUGUUUAAUAUAAUAAUUUGGUAUUUGAUUUAAUAAAAAGAUUGUUUUUAAUUAAAAUUGAUUCAAAUAAUUCUGUUUUUUAUCCAAACCAAAACUUAAUUCAAUGACAAUGAAAUAUACUAUUCAUAUUGGUAAUUUAAUGGUAUAGAUUUUACUUUUUAAGUAAAUAAAAAUGUUGCAAAGAAUAAAAAUGUUGCAAAGAAUACUAUACUAGUAGAAGGCGUAGGUUAUGACUUGAUCCAAUAGAGUCAAAACACCUUUCUAUCUAAAAGGAAUGGUGCUCGAUGAAACAAUCCAGAUUCCACACUGUGCUGUGGGCUGGGAAGGGAGCUGCUCUGUGAAAUUGGGCAUUCAAUGUUCUUACGGGGGAACCAUACUAGAAAGAGAAUAGAAAGAGCCUUCAAAAAAAAGCGAAUGAGUGAUGGGCAACCUUAGUCUAUAUGUCGCUUGUGAGCCGCCAAGUACCAGUCUCGCAACAGUACUGGCGUUAAAGGAUUGGUCCUUCACUUGCUGAUCGUUCGCGAGUCGAACUCGCUCUCUUGCCACGCCUUUCACUCACUUGCUUUAGUCGGACUCAAUCACUCUUUUUGUUGCAAAGAAUAAUAUGUAAACACAAUCAAAAUCCCCCCCGAAGGUUCAGUGUCUCAAAAUCAAAAUCAGAAAAUUGUUAACAUCAAGAAUCAAAAUCACAAUCAAAAUCAAAAAGCAAAAAGCAAGAAACUACUUCAAAUUGGGUUAACAAGAAAUAGGGUUAACAGCAAACUCACCUUUGAAAUUCAAAGGUAGAAGACAUAGAAGGCUAGAAGCACCCGCACCGUUAGAGCGGAGGUGGAGUCGUGGAGGACUGAACACCGGAGGUGGAAUGGUGGAUCGGUGGAGGUGGGUUUUCGAUUUGGGGGAAAAAAAGGGAGGAGGGAAUGGGUUAGAGAUUUAUUAGAUGCACGGGGUCGGGGAAAUGGGAAAUGGGAAAUGAGAAAUGUAAAUAAUAAAUUUUUAAAAAAAAUAUAUAUAUAUUAA
Molecule: long non-coding RNA, 1704 nt
Filed under: Gossypium barbadense (sea-island cotton)
Lineage: Eukaryota; Viridiplantae; Streptophyta; Magnoliopsida; Malvales; Malvaceae
Description: long non-coding RNA (GBAR_LNC013260)
Source: RNAcentral